Molecule: ribosomal RNA, 1244 nt
Filed under: metagenome
Description: bacterial LSU rRNA
Rfam family: Bacterial large subunit ribosomal RNA
Source: RNAcentral
UGAGUACGAGACGCUAAGGCGUCGAAGUAGUGUAUGUCAUACUUCCAAGAAAAGCUUGCACUGUCAUUCAUAAAAAAUGCCUGUACCAUAACCGACACAGGUGGGUAGGUAGAGUAUACUAAGGGGCGCGAGAUAACUCUCUCUAAGGAACUCGGCAAAAUAACUCCGUAACUUCGGGAGAAGGAGUGCCUUAUUUAUAUAAGGUUGCAAUAACAAGAUCCAAGCAACUGUUUACCAAAAACACAGGUCUCCGCUAAGUCGUAAGACGAUGUAUGGGGGCUGACGCCUGCCCAGUGCCAGAAGGUUAAAGAAGUUGGUUAGCAAUAGCGAAGCUGAUAACUGAAGCCCUGGUGAACGGCGGCCGUAACGAUAACGGUCCUAAGGUAGCGAAAUUCCUUGUCGGGUAAGUUCCGACCCGCACGAAAGGCGUAAUGAUUUGGAUACUGUCUCGGAGAGGGACUCGGUGAAAUAGACUUGUCUGUGAAGAUGCGGACUACCUGCACCUGGACAGAAAGACCCUAUGAAGCUUUACUGUAACUUGAAAUUGAAAUUGGACUUUAUUCGCGCAGUAUAGGUGGGAGGCGUUGAAAAUAAUCUUGCGGGACUAUUGGAGCCAUCAGUGAGAUACCACUCUUAUAAUGUUAGAUUUCUAACUUUGAAUCAUUAUCUGGUCAAAGAACAGUUUCAGGCGGGCAGUUUGACUGGGGCGGUCGCCUCCCAAACGGUAACGGAGGCGUACAAAGGUUUCCUCUGAACGGGUAGAAAUCGUAUCUAGAGUAUAAAGGCAAAAGGAAGCUUGACUGUGAGACCUACAAGUCGAGCAGGGACGAAAGUCGGUCUUAGUGAUCUGACGGUACUGAGUGGAAAGGCCGUCACUCAACGGAUAAAAGUUACUCUAGGAUAACAGGCUGAUCUCCCCCAAGAGUUCACAUCGACGGGGAGGUUUGGCACCUUGAUGUCGGCUCAUCGCAUCCUGGGGCGGUAGUACGUCCCAAGGGUUGGGCUGUUCGCCCAUGAAAGCGGUACGCGAGCUGGGUUCAGAACGUCGUGAGACAGUUCGGUCCAUAUCCGUUGUAGGCGUUAGAAUAUUGAGAGGAGCCUUCUUUAGUACGAGAGGACCGAGAAGGACAUACCUCUGGUGUACCAGUUAUCGUGCCAACGGUAAACGCUGGGUAGCUAUGUAUGGAGUGGAUAACCGCUGAAAGCAUCUAAGUGGGAAGCCCACCUCAAGAUGAGUAUUCUCA